This 253-nucleotide ribosomal RNA is filed under the name uncultured bacterium. Its description in RNAcentral is "partial 16S ribosomal RNA". It matches the Rfam family "Bacterial small subunit ribosomal RNA", at positions 524 to 776 of the family's 1533-position model. The record is from RNAcentral.
UACGAAGGGGGCUAGCGUUGUUCGGAAUUACUGGGCGUAAAGGGCGCGUAGGCGGUACUUCAAGUCAGGCGUGAAAGCCCCGGGCUCAACCUGGGAACCGCGCUUGAGACUGGAGAACUAGAGUUCGGGAGAGGAUGGUGGUAUUCCCAGUGUAGAGGUGAAAUUCGUAGAUAUUGGGAAGAACACCGAUGGCGAAGGCAGCCAUCUGGACCGACACUGACGCUGAGGCGCGAAAGCGUGGGGAGCAAACAGG